RNAcentral lists this ribosomal RNA (449 nucleotides) under uncultured bacterium. RNAcentral's name for it is "bacterial SSU rRNA". It matches the Rfam family "Bacterial small subunit ribosomal RNA", at positions 355 to 796 of the family's 1533-position model. The record is from RNAcentral.
UGGGGAAUUUUGGACAAUGGGGGAAACCCUGAUCCAGCAAUGCCGCGUGUGUGAAGAAGGCCUUCGGGUUGUAAAGCACUUUUGUUCGGAAAGAAAUCCCUUGGGAUAAUACCUCGGGGGGAUGACGGUACCGGAAGAAUAAGCACCGGCUAACUACGUGCCAGCAGCCGCGGUAAUACGUAGGGUGCAAGCGUUAAUCGGAAUUACUGGGCGUAAAGCGUGCGCAGGCGGUUUUGUAAGACGGAUGUGAAAUCCCCGGGCUUAACCUGGGAACUGCAUUCGUGACUGCAAAGCUAGAGUAUGGCAGAGGGGGGUAGAAUUCCACGUGUAGCAGUGAAAUGCGUAGAGAUGUGGAGGAAUACCGAUGGCGAAGGCAGCCCCCUGGGCCAAUACUGACGCUCAUGCACGAAAGCGUGGGGAGCAAACAGGAUUAGAUACCCGUGUAGUCC